GGUAGCAUAAUCAUUAGUCUCCUAAUUAGAGGCUUGUAUGAAUGGUCGGACAAGAUGGGGACUGUCUCAAUACAAAAAAUGGAAAUUAAUAUUUAAGUAAAAAAGCUUAAAUGUUGUGGAGUGACGAUAAGACCCUAUAAAGCUUUAUGGUAGUUUCUUUUUAUAGUAAUUAGUAUAAUGUAAUUUAUUAAAGGGAAAUAUAUCAUUUUACUGGGGCGGUAAAAGUAUAUUUUUGAUUAACUGCUUUUGUUUUGUAAAACAAUGAUAAUUGAAUUAUAAAUUGAUCCAUUAUUAAUGAUUACAAGAACAAGUUACUUUAGGGAUAACAGCGUAAUUUUUCUUGAGAGUUCUUAUCGAAAGAAGAGUUUGCGACCUCGAUGUUGAAUUAAGGAAGCCUUAAGGUGUAGCAGUUUUAUAGGCAGAUCUGUUCGAUCUUUGAAUCUUUACAUGAUUUG
Molecule: ribosomal RNA, 455 nt
Filed under: Haptosquilla glyptocercus
Lineage: Eukaryota; Metazoa; Arthropoda; Malacostraca; Stomatopoda; Protosquillidae
Description: partial 16S ribosomal RNA
Rfam family: Bacterial large subunit ribosomal RNA
Source: RNAcentral